This 506-nucleotide ribosomal RNA is filed under the name uncultured bacterium. RNAcentral's name for it is "partial 16S ribosomal RNA". It matches the Rfam family "Bacterial small subunit ribosomal RNA", at positions 29 to 523 of the family's 1533-position model. The record is from RNAcentral.
AGUGAACGCUGGCGGUAGGCCUAACACAUGCAAGUCGAACGGCAGCACAGGAGAGCUUGCUCUCUGGGUGGCGAGUGGCGGACGGGUGAGGAAUACAUCGGAAUCUACUUUUUCGUGGGGGAUAACGUAGGGAAACUUACGCUAAUACCGCAUACGACCUACGGGUGAAAGCAGGGGACCUUCGAGCCUUGCGCGAUUGAAUGAGCCGAUGUCGGAUUAGCUAGUUGGCGGGGUAAAGGCCCACCAAGGCGACGAUCCGUAGCUGGUCGGAGAGGAUGAUCAGCCACACUGGAACUGAGACACGGUCCAGACUCCUACGGGAGGCAGCAGUGGGGAAUAUUGGACAAUGGGCGCAAGCCUGAUCCAGCCAUACCGCGUGGGUGAAGAAGGCCUUCGGGUUGUAAAGCCCUUUUGUUGGGAAAGAAAUCCAGCUGGCUAAUACCCGGUUGGGAUGACGGUACCCAAAGAAUAAGCACCGGCUAACUUCGUGCCAGCCGCCGCAGUAA